This 203-nucleotide ribosomal RNA is filed under the name uncultured bacterium. RNAcentral's name for it is "partial 16S ribosomal RNA". It matches the Rfam family "Bacterial small subunit ribosomal RNA", at positions 524 to 724 of the family's 1533-position model. The record is from RNAcentral.
UACGUAGGUGACAAGCGUUAUCCGGAAUUACUGGGCGUAAAGCGCACGCAGGCGGCGCGGUAAGUCUGAUGUGAAAAUCUCCCGGCUUAACUGGGAGGGGUCAUUGGAAACUGCCGAGCUUGAGGCGAUGAGAGGGGUGUAGAAUUCCCGGUGUAGUGGUGGAAUGCGUAGAUAUCGGGAGGAAUACCAGUGGCGAAAAGCGG